RNAcentral lists this ribosomal RNA (957 nucleotides) under Providencia rettgeri. Its description in RNAcentral is "partial 23S ribosomal RNA". It matches the Rfam family "Bacterial large subunit ribosomal RNA", at positions 593 to 1552 of the family's 2925-position model. The record is from RNAcentral. Lineage: Bacteria; Pseudomonadati; Pseudomonadota; Gammaproteobacteria; Enterobacterales; Morganellaceae.
GUGACUGCGUACCUUUUGUAUAAUGGGUCAGCGACUUAUAUUCUGUAGCAAGGUUAACCGUAUAGGGGAGCCGUAGGGAAACCGAGUCUUAACUGGGCGAAUGAGUUGCAGGGUAUAGACCCGAAACCCGGUGAUCUAGCCAUGGGCAGGUUGAAGGUUGGGUAACACUAACUGGAGGACCGAACCGACUAAUGUUGAAAAAUUAGCGGAUGACUUGUGGCUGGGGGUGAAAGGCCAAUCAAACCGGGAGAUAGCUGGUUCUCCCCGAAAGCUAUUUAGGUAGCGCCUCGUGAACUCAUCUUCGGGGGUAGAGCACUGUUUCGACUAGGGGGUCAUCCCGACUUACCAACUCGAUGCAAACUACGAAUACCGAAGAAUGUUAUCACGGGAGACACACGGCGGGUGCUAACGUUCGUCGUGAAGAGGGAAACAACCCAGACCGCCAGCUAAGGUCCCAAAGUCAUAGUUAAGUGGGAAACGAAGUGGGAAGGCUCAGACAGCCAGGAUGUUGGCUUAGAAGCAGCCAUCAUUUAAAGAAAGCGUAAUAGCUCACUGGUCGAGUCGGCCUGCGCGGAAGAUGUAACGGGGCUAAACUAUGCACCGAAGCUGCGGCAGCGAUAUGUAAAUAUUGUUGGGUAGGGGAGCGUUCUGUAAGCCUGUGAAGGUGUACUGUGAGGUAUGCUGGAGGUAUCAGAAGUGCGAAUGCUGACAUAAGUAACGAUAAUGCGGGUGAAAAACCCGCACGCCGGAAGACCAAGGGUUCCUGUCCAACGUUAAUCGGGGCAGGGUGAGUCGACCCCUAAGGCGAGGCAGAAAUGCGUAGUCGAUGGGAAACGGGUUAAUAUUCCCGUACUGGUGAUAAUUGCGAUGGGGGGACGGAGAAGGCUAGGCUAUCCGGGCGACGGUUGUCCCGGUUUAAGGAUGUAGGCAGGUGAAUUAGGCAAAUCCGGUUCACUA